This 433-nucleotide ribosomal RNA is filed under the name uncultured bacterium. RNAcentral describes it as "partial 16S ribosomal RNA". It matches the Rfam family "Bacterial small subunit ribosomal RNA", at positions 29 to 507 of the family's 1533-position model. The record is from RNAcentral.
AACGAACGCUGGCGGCAUGCCUAACACAUGCAAGUCGAACGAGACCUUCGGGUCUAGUGGCGCACGGGUGCGUAACGCGAGGGAACCUGCCCUUAGGUUCGGAAUAACUCCCAGAAAGGGGUGCUAAUACCGGAUAAUGUCUUCGGCCCAAAGAUUUAUCGCCUUUGGAUGGGCCCGCGUUGGAUUAGCUAGUUGGUAGGGUAAAAGCCUACCAAGGCGACGAUCCAUAGCUGGUCUGAGAGGAUGAUCAGCCACACUGGGACUGAGACACGGCCCAGACUCCUACGGGAGGCAGCAGUGGGGAAUAUUGGACAAUGGGCGAAAGCCUGAUCCAGCAAUGCCGCGUAAGUGAUGAAGGCCUUAGGGUUGUAAAGCUCUUUUACCCGGGAUGAUAAUGACAGUACCGGGAGAAUAAGCUCCGGCUAACUCCGUG